UACGUAGGGUGCAAGCAUUAUCCGGAGUGACUGGGCGUAAAGAGUUGCGUAGGUGGUUUGUUAAGUGAAUGGUGAAAUCUGGCGGCUCAACCGUACAGACUAUUAUUCAAACUGGCAAACUCGAGAAUGGUAGAGGUAACUGGAAUUUCUAGUGUAGGAGUGAAAUCCGUAGAUAUUAGAAGGAACACCAAUGGCGUAGGCAGGUUACUGGACCAUCUCUGACACUGAGGCACGAAAGCGUGGGGAGCGAACCGGAUUAGAAA
Molecule: ribosomal RNA, 263 nt
Filed under: uncultured bacterium
Lineage: Bacteria
Description: partial 16S ribosomal RNA
Rfam family: Bacterial small subunit ribosomal RNA
Source: RNAcentral